UGUGGUGGUAUUGAACAUGUUGUGGAUAUGUGGUGGUAUUGAACAUGUGGUGGAUAUGUGGUGGUAUUGAACAUGUUGUGGAUAUGUGGGGGUAUUGAACAUGUGGUGGAUAUGUGGUGGUAUUGAACAUGUGGAUAUGUGGGGGUAUUGAACAUGUUGUGGAUAUGUGGGGGUAUUGAACAUGUUGUGUUGUGGAUGUGUGGGUAUUGAACAUGUUGUGGAUAUGUGGUGGUAUUGAACAUGUUGUGGAUAUGUGGAGGUAUUGAACAUGUUGUGGAUAUGUGGUGGUAUUGAACAUGUUGUGUUGUUGAUAUGUGGUGGUAUUGAACAUGUUGUGUUGUGGAUAUGUGGAGGUAUUGAACAUGUUGUGGAUAUGUGGUGGUAUUGAACAUGUUGUGGGUAUGUGGUGGUAUUGAACAUGUUGUGGAUAUGUGGAAGUAUUGAACAUGUUGUGGAUGUGUUGUGGUAUUAAACAUGUUGUGUUGUGGAUAUGUGGAGGUAUUGAACAUGUUGUGGAUAUGUGGUGGUAUUGAACAUGUUGUGGAUAUGUUGUGGUAUUAAACAUGUUGUGUUGUGGAUAUGUGGUGGUAUUGAACAUGUUGUGAUGUGGAAAUGUGGUGACAUUGAACAUGUAGUGGAUAUGUGGUGGUAUUGAACAUGUUGUGAUGUGGAAAUGUGGUGACAUUGAACAUGUAGUGGAUAUGUGGUGGUAUUGAACAUGUUGUGAUGUGGAUAUGUGGGGGUAUUAAACAUGUUGUGGAUAUGUGGAGGUAUUGAACAUGUUGUGGAUAUGUGGUGGUAUUGAACAUGUGUUGUGGAUAUGUGGAGGUAUUGAAUAUGUUGUGGAUAUGUGGUGGUAUUGAACAUGUUGUGGAUAUGUGGAGGUAUUGAACAUGUUGUGGAUAUGUGGUGGUAUUGAACAUGUUGAGGUAUUGAACAUGUUGUGGAUAUGUGGUGGUAUUGAACAUGUUGUGGAUAUGUGGUGGUAUUGAACAUGUUGUGUUGUGGAUAUGUGCUGGUAUUGAAGAUGUUGUGGUAUUAAACAUGUUGUGUUGUGGAUAUGUGGUGGCAUUGAACAUGUAGUGGAUAUGUGGUGGUAUUGAACAUGUUGUGGAUAUGUGGUGGUAUUGAACAUGUUGUGGAUAUGUGGUGGUAUUGAACAUGUUGUGGAUAUGUUGUGGUACUAAACAUGUGUUGUGGAUAUGUGGUGGUAUUGAUUAUGUUAUGGAUAUGUUGUGGAUAUGUUGUGGUAUUAAACAUGUUGUGCUGUGGAUAUGUGGUGGUAUUGAUUAUGUUGUGGAAAUGUGGUGGCAUUGAACAUGUAGUGGAUAUGUGGUGGUAUUGAACAUGUUGUGGAUAUGUGGUGGUAUUGAACAUGUUGUGUUGUGGAUAUGUGGAGGUAUUGAACAUGUUGUGGAUAUGUGGUGGUAUUGAACAUGUUGUGGAUAUGUGGUGGUAUUGAACAUGUUGUGUUGUGGAUAUGUGCUGGUAUUGAACAUGUUGUGGAUAUGUUGUGGUAUUAAACAUGUUGUGUUGUGGAUAUGUGGUGGCAUUGAACAUGUAGUGGAUAUGUGGUGGUAUUGAACAUGUUGUGGAUAUGUGGUGGUAUUGAACAUGUUGUGGAUAUGUGGUGGUAUUGAACAUGUU
This is a long non-coding RNA of Oncorhynchus tshawytscha (Chinook salmon), 1647 nucleotides long. The record is from Ensembl. Lineage: Eukaryota; Metazoa; Chordata; Actinopteri; Salmoniformes; Salmonidae.